This 253-nucleotide ribosomal RNA is filed under the name uncultured bacterium. RNAcentral describes it as "partial 16S ribosomal RNA". It matches the Rfam family "Bacterial small subunit ribosomal RNA", at positions 524 to 776 of the family's 1533-position model. The record is from RNAcentral.
UACGGAGGGGGCAAGCGUUAUUCGGAAUUAUUGGGCGUAAAGGGCGCGUAGGCGGCUAGAUGUGUCAAAGGUGAAAUCCCUCGGCUCAACUGAGGAACUGCCUUUGAAACUGUCUGGCUUGAGGCCGGGAGAGGGUAGCGGAAUUCCCAGUGUAGCGGUGAAAUGCGUAGAUAUGACCCGGAACACCGAUUGCGAAGGCAGCCCACUAAGCAAUGAUUGACGCUGAGGCACGAAAGCGUGGGGAUCAAACAGG